UUAAAACUUAAAACUAUGAAAUAGAAGCGACGACUGUUGUUACAUUAUUAUAUCCGUGGGAAUGAAAGGGCCAGUAGUCGUGCCCAGAACUUUUAGUACCCAAAACAAUAUUGAGAGUGUCUUGUGUUUAGGCCUAUUUAACAUCUAACAACUCAAGUUUGACAUUUUCACUAAUUAAUUUAAUUCCAAGUUUCUUUAUUAGAUCAUAAAAAAUUGUGUCGGAUGGUUUCAGCCAAUGAAAGACUGUCACAUGGUAUUUAUUGAGAUUUUCUCACACACAAUUUUUACAGAUAUUUAUCCUGACAGAGUAAUUUUAAGUUUAAAUUUGGAAAUAUAAAUG
Molecule: long non-coding RNA, 340 nt
Filed under: Salvia miltiorrhiza (redroot sage)
Lineage: Eukaryota; Viridiplantae; Streptophyta; Magnoliopsida; Lamiales; Lamiaceae
Description: long non-coding RNA (SMIL_LNC003792)
Source: RNAcentral